GCCGGGGUCGCAUAAUCUGGUAUUGCGCUAGAUUGCUAAGAACUGGAAGUUCUUAAGAAGCUUGCGAUACCACAAACAUCUAGUGUCCGUAUGGGCGUGCGGGUUCAAAUCCCGCCCUCGGCG
Molecule: transfer RNA, 123 nt
Filed under: Candidatus Woesearchaeota archaeon
Lineage: Archaea; Nanobdellati; Candidatus Woesearchaeota
Description: tRNA-Ser
Rfam family: tRNA
About the family: Transfer RNA (tRNA) molecules are approximately 80 nucleotides in length.
Source: RNAcentral